AACGAACGCUGGCGGCAGGCUUAACACAUGCAAGUCGAACGCCCUCGCAAGGGGGAGUGGCAGACGGGUGAGUAACGCGUGGGAACAUACCCUUCGGUUCGGAACAACGCCGGGAAACUGGCGCUAAUACCGGAUACGGCCUGUGGGCGAAAGAUUGAUCGCCGAAGGAUUGGCCCGCGUUCGAUUAGCUAGUUGGUGCGGUAACGGCGCACCAAGGCGACGAUCGAUAGCUGGUCUGAGAGGAUGGCCAGCCACAUUGGGACUGAGACACGGCCCAAACUCCUACGGGAGGCAGCAGUGGGGAAUAUUGGACAAUGGGCGCAAGCCUGAUCCAGCCAUGCCGCGUGAGUGAUGACGGCCUUAGGGUUGUAAAGCUCUUUCGCACGCGACGAUAAUGACGGUAGCGUGAGAAGAAGCCCCGGCUAACUUCGUGCCAGCCGCCGCGGUAACAC
RNAcentral lists this ribosomal RNA (452 nucleotides) under uncultured bacterium. RNAcentral's name for it is "bacterial SSU rRNA". It matches the Rfam family "Bacterial small subunit ribosomal RNA", at positions 29 to 526 of the family's 1533-position model. The record is from RNAcentral.